Molecule: ribosomal RNA, 585 nt
Filed under: uncultured bacterium
Lineage: Bacteria
Description: partial 16S ribosomal RNA
Rfam family: Bacterial small subunit ribosomal RNA
Source: RNAcentral
UGGGGAAUUUUGGACAAUGGGCGAAAGCCUGAUCCAGCAAUGCCGCGUGUGUGAAGAAGGCCUUCGGGUUGUAAAGCACUUUUGUCCGGAAAGAAAUCCUUGGCUCUAAUACAGUCGGGGGAUGACGGUACCGGAAGAAUAAGCACCGGCUAACUACGUGCCAGCAGCCGCGGUAAUACGUAGGGUGCAAGCGUUAAUCGGAGUUACUGGGCGUAAAGCGUGCGCAGGCGGUUUGCUAAGACCGAUGUGAAAUCCCCGGGCUCAACCUGGGAACUGCAUUGGUGACUGGCAGGCUAGAGUAUGGCAGAGGGGGGUAGAAUUCCACGUGUAGCAGUGAAAUGCGUAGAGAUGUGGAGGAAUACCGAUGGCGAAGGCAGCCCCCUGGGCCAAUACUGACGCUCAUGCACGAAAGCGUGGGGAGCAAACAGGAUUAGAUACCCUGGUAGUCCNCGCCCUAAACGAUGUCAACUAGUGUUGGGGAUUCAUUUCCUUAGUAACGUAGCUAACGCGUGAAGUUGACCGCCUGGGGGAGUNCGGUCGCAAGAUUAAAACUCAAAUGAAUUGACGGGGUCAUAGCUGUUUCCU